AUGGGACCUGCCUUUUUAAUGGGACAUCCCGGCAACAGGCCUACUCAUGCAUGUGGCCAAGUACUCGACCAAUCCUCGGAGCGAAGGGAUGAACGAAUUCUCGAGGUCUGGUUCAUUGAGAUAACUGGUGAUGCUAGAGCUAUCAAGAAGGCAUUGUUUGCAGUAUCAACCAUCAUCUACAAAUGCCCAUCAAAAGAGACCAUUUCUCUGGAAACUUCUGUCCCUCCAAGCAUUGUACAUCCUUCAGAGCUUCCUGUCUAUCCUGCUAGUAACUUCUACUCAGUGUCAGAUGCAGCUAUACCUUAUGGAAUGGACAUCCAAAUCUAG
This 327-nucleotide ribosomal RNA is filed under the name Triticum aestivum (bread wheat). RNAcentral's name for it is "partial small subunit ribosomal RNA". Lineage: Eukaryota; Viridiplantae; Streptophyta; Magnoliopsida; Poales; Poaceae. The record is from RNAcentral.